GAUGACCUGAUAUCUGAAUUGAGAAAUUCAAUACUGUUUUAGUUGUUUAUCUAACCAUAAACGAUCGAUGGUAUGCACUUUUCUCAUAGUAGGACAUUGCGAUCCAUUAGUAUGUUCUUCUGGAACGGCUUAUCAAACGGCCUGCGUAGUCAGUUUAGCCUAUCUGCAAUCCUUGUGGUUGUAUGGUUAAUGCUAUUGCGGUGACCUGGUAAGCAGCUGAUGGAGCUUGACAAUCAUGCCACCAUGCAAAUGUAUCGCGGCCUCGAUCUAUUUCGAUAGCUUGGGGUGCAGUGAUCGCAUGUAUUUGAUUAGCAAUGCGAUAGAUUUGGGAUACCUUCGGGACCCGUCUUGAAACACGGACCAAGAAGUCUAACAUGUGUGUAAGUCAUUGGGUAUGUUGUUGAAACCUAAAGGCGAAAUUAAAAUAACUAUUAUGGGAUUACAAGCGGUCUCUAAUGACCGUUUCUCCAUCCCGGGGCGUUCCAUCAGAACAUGGUUCGAGCAAUCGGACCCUCUGUUCUGGAGCGUACCUUGAACAUACAUGCUGUGACCC
This 553-nucleotide ribosomal RNA is filed under the name Coelophthinia thoracica. RNAcentral describes it as "eukaryotic LSU rRNA". It matches the Rfam family "Eukaryotic large subunit ribosomal RNA", at positions 423 to 817 of the family's 3401-position model. The record is from RNAcentral. Lineage: Eukaryota; Metazoa; Arthropoda; Insecta; Diptera; Mycetophilidae.